UACGGGGGGAGCAAGCGUUGUUCGGAAUCACUGGGCGUAAAGCGCACGUAGGCGGAUGUGUCAGUCAGGGGUGAAAUCCCGGAGCUCAACUUCGGAACUGCCUCUGAUACAGCACGUCUUGAGUCCGAUAGAGGUGGGUGGAAUUCCUAGUGUAGAGGUGAAAUUCGUAGAUAUUAGGAAGAACACCGGUGGCGAAGGCGGCCCACUGGAUCGGUACUGACGCUGAGGUGCGAAAGCGUGGGGAGCAAACAGG
Molecule: ribosomal RNA, 253 nt
Filed under: uncultured bacterium
Lineage: Bacteria
Description: partial 16S ribosomal RNA
Rfam family: Bacterial small subunit ribosomal RNA
Source: RNAcentral